AUACCGCGUGUGNAAGAAGGCCUGAGGGUUGUAAAGCGCUUCAAUAGGAAGGAAUACCUAUCGGUUAAUACCGCGGUAGACUGACAUUACCUAUACAAGAAGCACCGGCUAACUCCGUGCCAGCAGCCGCGGUAAUACGGAGGGUGCAAGCGUUAAUCGGAAUUACUGGGCGUAAAGCGUGCGUAGGCGGUUAUUUAAGUCAGAUGUGAAAGCCCUGGGCUUAACCUGGGAACUGCAUUUGAUACUGGAUGACUAGAGUUGAGUAGAGGAGAGUGGAAUUACAGGUGUAGCGGUGAAAUGCGUAGAGAUCUGAAGGAACACCAGUGGCGAAGGCGGCUCUCUGGACUCAAACUGACGCUGAGGUACGAAAGCGUGGGUAGCAAACAGGAUUAGAUACCCUGGUAGUCCACGCCGUAAACGAUGUCAACUAACCGUUGGGUUCUUUAAGAACUUAGUGGUGGAGCUAACGUAUUAAGUUGAACGGCUGGGGAGUACGGACGCAAGGCUAAAACUCAAAUGACUUGACGGGGGCCCGCAAAAGCGGUGGAGCAUGU
Molecule: ribosomal RNA, 554 nt
Filed under: uncultured archaeon
Lineage: Archaea
Description: bacterial SSU rRNA
Rfam family: Bacterial small subunit ribosomal RNA
Source: RNAcentral